ACAGCCUACCGAAGUGGAAAAUGAAAACCAUGAGUAUCUGAAAUCUUCAUGGUCUUCAUUUUCUACUUCGUAUGACUGU
RNAcentral lists this microRNA precursor (79 nucleotides) under Heliconius melpomene (postman butterfly). Its description in RNAcentral is "microRNA hme-mir-6309 precursor". Lineage: Eukaryota; Metazoa; Arthropoda; Insecta; Lepidoptera; Nymphalidae. The record is from miRBase by way of RNAcentral.